Molecule: long non-coding RNA, 2790 nt
Organism: Alligator mississippiensis (American alligator)
Lineage: Eukaryota; Metazoa; Chordata; Crocodylia; Alligatoridae
Exons: 3
Source: RefSeq, a predicted model, not a curated record
UAGAUUCAGGGCUGCCCAUAUAAACAGGGCAGUUCUGCUGCUGGGGGCCAGGCAACAGCAUUGCCUGGGCAGAGAACUGCUGAUAUCACCUGGAGGAGAUGUGAGCCACAUCAAAGGAGCAGAAGCCAACAUUGAUAGGCUGGGAGCAUCCUGCGAAUACCCUGCCAGAAAUAGUGGAACAGACACUCCAUUGGAGAGAGUCAAUUGCAGAAGGAAUGACUACAAAAGAAGAUAUCAUAGAUGCUGAGAAAAAAAAGAAAGAAGUAAGAAGACUCCAAUGAAAUGCACUGGGGACCAUACAAUCCAGAUCUAAUUUACCUGUGCAGUACAUAUCAAUUCUAGCUGUAAAGCAUUAUGGAAAACCCAAGGUUAGCUGUACUAUGAUAAGAUUCCUAAGAGGGUUUAUUUUUCUAAGCAUCAGGUUUGAAAUACUCUUCCAAACUACCAAUCUGAAAACUGAAAGCCCUUCCAUUUUCAGGGGAAAAAUACAGUCCAUGUAUUUACAGGUUUUUGCUUCAUGGUCAAACCUUCUGUUUUCUGUCCACUAAACUAUUACAAGGGACACUAGUUUGUUCACUAGUUACCCAGUGCCUCCGCAUUUUUUGUGAAUAAGCAGGAUUUUAUUUUAAGAGCUUUUAAAAUCAUCUGCUGUUAUUUUGAGCAGGAAUGCUUUGCUGAUGGCUGAAGACUUGAAAAGGUUUGUCUGAAACAUAGCCAAAUAUCUUGUAAACAAAGACAAAACACUGCUGUACCAUGGCUCUGGAUACUGAAAACAUUAAGUAUUAACUUAGUAACUCCCUGUUUGGAUCACUGAUGGGGAUACAAGUUAAGACCUCUAGCACCAAAGGACAGGCCUUCACAACUUGAGCUAGAAGUUUAUGGGACAGAUUUAGGCUUCAAAGGGUAUAGGUAGGAUCCAAAUAGGAUUCCCAAAGUGCGUAGGUGCUUAACUUACAAGGAUAAAAAAUAAAAUAAAAUCACCUAUCUGUAUCUUUAUGCACCUGAGCACCUCUAAAAGUAUGACCCUAGAAGCAUUUGCAGGAAUAGUCACUUGCAAGUACUUUUAUGCAUCAGCCAUUGAAUAGAAACACACAUUUCACCUGUGUGUUAAAAUAAAGGGCCUGAGUGUGCUCUUUCUCCCCCGUUUUUUGAAGAAACUGAAUUUUGUGUGUGCAUGCACAAAUAUGGGAAUGGAUAUAUCUGCAGCAGGGAGAAAAGUGCUCAGUCACAUUGGACGUCAACUGUGCAUGCUCGGUAGCCAUAUGGAUGCUUACGUACCUACACGACACAUGAAAAAGGAUCACAAACUGUGGCCAAGCACCAAAAGCAGCAGCAGUGCAAGUGGGUAGCUGCCAUUUGGUUACAUAAAGCAAAAAUGAGAUUCUUCCCCAAAACUCAGCUGAACUCAGUGUAAAACCUCUGAAAGCAUGCCAAAGGAGCACAGUGGAAAUAGCUCUUGCACUCGUUCACCAUUAAAUUAAAGGAAACAUUUAAUAAUAAGGUAAAAACAUGCACACAAACAAGCACUUUAUACUACUGAAAAUCCAUAACAAACAAGAAAACAAAUGAUCUAAACAACAUGUUUUAAAAGAGAGAAGAAGAAGAAGAGUCUUAGAGAAGGUUUGAUGGACAUUAAGGCAAACAUCUAUAAAUGUAAUUGUCUUUUGGGGGGUGGGGGGAGGAGAUGGCCCGAGUGGUCCCAGGAAAUUCUAGAAAGCAAUCAUGCUAGGGAGCAACAAUUACAGAACUGCAGGGUGGGCAGUGUGACAGCACAGGUAUCCCUUCAGAAAGCUACAUUUGGAGGAUUCUUUAAAUGAAGCCUAUACUGCUCAGCACUUCCAAAGUCAAACACAACGCCAGCUAAAAAAAAAAAAAAAAAAAAAAAUCAAUCCACCACUUUACUGGCUGGCUCUGUUUUCUUUACACUGGCUGCCUAUAAAUGAAGAAGCUAUCAGACUGCCUACAGGGUGCUUCAAGCUGCUGCUCCUGCUCAUCCCUCUGAAGCUAUUUUUAAAGUUAACUCCAUAGCAGGCUCCAUUUCAGAAAUAAUAAAACAUUCAUGGGGUGUUUUUGGAAUCAGCCUUGUGUGUGUGGCUUCAAGUUCUGGCAGCAAUGCCAAUGAUGCUGGAGAGUGGCUCUUACCUGUAAUGUCCUUCCGCAGCACUCAGUAUUGCCAAGAUGGAAGAUCAGCUGAGACCGCAGCAGGUAGCUAAAUAAAAGUGAAUUACACUUGUGCAUCAACACACAACUUUGUGCCAUUAGUCUGACACCUAAUCUACUAUGGUAAGCUGGAAGUAAUGCUUACUGUUAUUGCUAUCAGGUUUAGUUGCUCAGAAUUUUGGUCCCAGUGCAGGUCUUGCCAUUAGGUACACCGACCGACUCAUUGCUCUGCCCUCAAACUGAUAUCCAGUCCCUAUCCCUAGGGAAGCAUCCCUACCAAGUCUCAUAAUAAAACACGGAGAGCAGUAAGGCAGUUGGCAGCAGCAGGAGUACAAUCAAAGCUAGUCAGGCAAAUAAGCAACACCACCCCAAAGUCACCAAAGGCUCAGGGAGCACAUCACACCAUGUGUCUCUGUCAGGGGCUCCGCUAUUUGAAAUGUCACUGACUUGGACGAGUCUCUCUUAUCUGAGUGGCUGUAUAGCUUUCUUGAAACGUACACAUGAACUGUCAAACUUUACAGGAGAAAUAGUGCUGGCUUUGCAAGCAGAUGCUGGUCAUGGAUGAUGAAACAUUGGCAAGGAUAAAGAGGUGACUCUGGAAAUCUACAUCCUCAGCCCUGCUGCUGCAGG